Molecule: long non-coding RNA, 360 nt
Organism: Pteropus alecto (black flying fox)
Lineage: Eukaryota; Metazoa; Chordata; Mammalia; Chiroptera; Pteropodidae
Exons: 2
Source: RefSeq, a predicted model, not a curated record
GGCUCUCCCCGCAGGAGCAGGCACACCGAUGGGAACCGAGAGGCCAGGGAUGGAACAUGGCUUUGUUUGGAGCGGAGAGACCCACACGAUCUUUCUUUUCGCAACUUUCUGCAUGACCCGUUCCAUAGAACUGCUAGAAUCAAGGUUGGCAAAGCUGAGAGGCAAGCCUUGACGAUAGCCUCACCCAGACUCAUCCAGGAAACCAGACCCGAAGUACCUAAAAGAGUUUGAUCAUCAGAGCAAGACAAGAAAAUGAAAUCCACAGACCCAACACCCCUCAUGAGCAUAGGCGCAGAAGUCCUUAACAUAUAUCAUCAAACCAACGCCAGCGAUGUAUAAAAAAUAUAAUAUUGAAAAUUA